Molecule: ribosomal RNA, 301 nt
Filed under: uncultured bacterium
Lineage: Bacteria
Description: partial 16S ribosomal RNA
Rfam family: Bacterial small subunit ribosomal RNA
Source: RNAcentral
CAGCGCCGCGGUAAUACGAAGGGGGCUAGCGUUGUUCGGAAUUACUGGGCGUAAAGGGCGCGUAGGCGGCCAUUCAAGUUAGAUGUGAAAGCCCUGGGCUCAACCUAGGAAUUGCAUUUGAUACUGUUUGGCUUGAGUUCGGGAGAGGUGAGUGGAAUUCCCAGUGUAGAGGUGAAAUUCGUAGAUAUUGGGAAGAACACCGGUGGCGAAGGCGGCUCACUGGACCGACACUGACGCUGAGGCGCGAAAGCGUGGGGAGCAAACAGGAUUAGAUACCCGCGUAGUCCCUGUCUCUUAUACA